GAUGAACGCUGGCGGCGUGCCUAAUACAUGCAAGUCGAGCGAACGGACGAGAAGCUUGCUUCUCUGAUGUUAGCGGCGGACGGGUGAGUAACACGUGGAUAACCUACCUAUAAGACUGGGAUAACUUCGGGAAACCGGAGCUAAUACCGGAUAAUAUUUUGAACCGCAUGGUUCAAAAGUGAAAGACGGUCUUGCUGUCACUUAUAGAUGGAUCCUCGCUGCAUUAGCUAGUUGGUAAGGUAACGGCUUACCAAGGCAACGAUGCAUAGCCGACCUGAGAGGGUGAUCGGCCACACUGGAACUGAGACACGGUCCAGACUCCUACGGGAGGCAGCAGUAGGGAAUCUUCCGCAAUGGGCGAAAGCCUGACGGAGCAACGCCGCGUGAGUGAUGAAGGUCUUCGGAUCGUAAAACUCUGUUAUUAGGGAAGAACAUAUGCGUAAGUAACUGUGCACAUCUUGACGGUACCUAAUCAGAAAGCCACGGCUAACUACGUG
RNAcentral lists this ribosomal RNA (497 nucleotides) under uncultured bacterium. RNAcentral's name for it is "partial 16S ribosomal RNA". It matches the Rfam family "Bacterial small subunit ribosomal RNA", at positions 28 to 507 of the family's 1533-position model. The record is from RNAcentral.